Molecule: ribosomal RNA, 966 nt
Filed under: Rheinheimera mesophila
Lineage: Bacteria; Pseudomonadati; Pseudomonadota; Gammaproteobacteria; Chromatiales; Chromatiaceae
Description: Pararheinheimera mesophila Bacterial small subunit ribosomal RNA
Rfam family: Bacterial small subunit ribosomal RNA
Source: Rfam by way of RNAcentral
CCCGAUAGAGGGGGAUACCAGUUGGAAACGACUGUUAAUACCGCAUAAUGUCUACGGACCAAAGUGUGGGACCUUCGGGCCACAUGCUAUCGGAUGCGCCUACGUGGGAUUAGCUAGUUGGUGAGGUAAUGGCUCACCAAGGCGACGAUCUCUAGCUGGUUUGAGAGGAUGAUCAGCCACACUGGAACUGAGACACGGUCCAGACUCCUACGGGAGGCAGCAGUGGGGAAUAUUGGACAAUGGGCGCAAGCCUGAUCCAGCCAUGCCGCGUGUGUGAAGAAGGCCUUCGGGUUGUAAAGCACUUUCAGCGAGGAGGAAGGGUGGUGUGUUAAUAGCACAUCAUUUUGACGUUACUCGCAGAAGAAGCACCGGCUAACUCUGUGCCAGCAGCCGCGGUAAUACAGAGGGUGCAAGCGUUAAUCGGAAUUACUGGGCGUAAAGCGCACGUAGGCGGUUUUUUAAGUCAGAUGUGAAAGCCCCGGGCUCAACCUGGGAAUUGCAUUUGAAACUGGGAAACUAGAGUGUGUGAGAGGGGGGUAGAAUUCCAAGUGUAGCGGUGAAAUGCGUAGAGAUUUGGAGGAAUACCAGUGGCGAAGGCGGCCCCCUGGCACAACACUGACGCUCAGGUGCGAAAGCGUGGGGAGCAAACAGGAUUAGAUACCCUGGUAGUCCACGCCGUAAACGAUGUCUACUAGCUGUUCGUGACCUUGUGUUGUGAGUAGCGCAGCUAACGCACUAAGUAGACCGCCUGGGGAGUACGGUCGCAAGAUUAAAACUCAAAUGAAUUGACGGGGGCCCGCACAAGCGGUGGAGCAUGUGGUUUAAUUCGACGCAACGCGAAGAACCUUACCUACUCUUGACAUCUACGGAAGACUGCAGAGAUGCGGUUGUGCCUUCGGGAACCGUAAGACAGGUGCUGCAUGGCUGUCGUCAGCUCGUGUUGUGAAAUGUUGGGUUAAGUCCCGC